UACGUAGGGCGCAAGCGUUAUCCGGAAUUAUUGGGCGUAAAGAGCUCGUAGGCGGUUUGUCGCGUCUGCCGUGAAAGUCCGGGGCUCAACUCCGGAUCUGCGGUGGGUACGGGCAGACUAGAGUGAUGUAGGGGAGACUGGAAUUCCUGGUGUAGCGGUGAAAUGCGUAGAGAUCAGCAGGAACACCCGUGGCGAAGGCGGCCCCCUGGGCCGAACCUGACGCUGAGGCGCGAAGGCUAGGGGAGCGAACGGG
Molecule: ribosomal RNA, 253 nt
Filed under: uncultured bacterium
Lineage: Bacteria
Description: partial 16S ribosomal RNA
Rfam family: Bacterial small subunit ribosomal RNA
Source: RNAcentral